CUUCAGCUUCUCUGACACGUGGAUCAGCCUCUUCUGCAGCUCUUCGAAAAUUCCUGUUUAAUUCACUAUCUGUCUGAGUUGAGUACACAAAUAUGCAGUGACCUGGUGAAGAUGUGCUCUUCUCAAAUUCCCAACCAUGAUUGUAUAACAGCUUUCAUCAGAGCUGGAACAAGAGGCCAGGAUGGCUGAACAAGAUCCAACUCUUUUCAAGGAGCUCAUCAGUCAAGACUCAACACUGCCAAUUUUAUUCUCAUUUGAGCUGCAUUUCACGAAACAGCCUUCCUCAACAGGCUUCUUUUUGGAUUUGUGUGGUGACCACUUUUAUCAACUCCACCAGCACAACUCUGUGUUGUGAAUUAUGAGAUUUUUAGUCCAACGGAUGUGAAUAGUACCAAGUAGGUGAAAGAGGCUAUACUUAUUUUUUUGACCAAUUAUUUUUUAAAUGGAAUUUCCAGUGCUAAAUAUAAGUAGCUUGUUUAUGCUCUUAACAAUGAUUGCAUUUUAAUGUUUUAAUAUCAAUUGUAAACAAGGAGGGCAUUUGAUGCUAAAUAGCUCCCUAGAAUUUAUCUUUAGCACUGGAUAGUUUAAUUUCAUUGAUUUGAGACUAAAGGCCAUGCAUUCAUUUUCCUUUAAUGGAAGUAAAAAUGGCAAAACUCUGAGAAUUUUACCCCCCCCCCCUUUUUUUUUUUU
Pantherophis guttatus is the source of this 690-nucleotide non-coding RNA. NCBI's taxonomy places the organism in Eukaryota, Metazoa, Chordata, Lepidosauria, Squamata, Colubridae. The record is from RefSeq and is a predicted model, not a curated record.